RNAcentral lists this RNase P RNA (491 nucleotides) under Phaeodactylibacter sp. Its description in RNAcentral is "RNase P RNA component class A". It matches the Rfam family "Bacterial RNase P class A". Rfam says of the family: Ribonuclease P (RNase P) is a ubiquitous endoribonuclease, found in archaea, bacteria and eukarya as well as chloroplasts and mitochondria. Its best characterised activity is the generation of mature 5'-ends of tRNAs by cleaving the 5'-leader elements of precursor-tRNAs. The record is from RNAcentral. RNAcentral also lists the same sequence under 2 other names. Lineage: Bacteria; Pseudomonadati; Bacteroidota; Saprospiria; Saprospirales; Haliscomenobacteraceae.
GCUACAGGCUGCUCUAUCGCGGCUCCGCUUCUUUGAAGCAGAGAUGAGGAAAGUCCGGACAACGUAGAGCGCCACGCCACCUAACGGGUGGGCUGUCCCUUUGGGGAUAGACAGAAAGUGCCACAGAAAACUAGACUGCCGACGCCUUGGCAAGUGGAUGCGGGCAAAGCCCGCUGAUGCUUUAGCUGAAGGCGGGUGAGGGUGAAAACGUGCGGUAAGAGCGCACGCUCUGUCGUAGCAAUACGGUGGAGGGGUAAACCUCGUGGGUUGAAAUGCCAUGUACACCUCGAUUCUGCCGGUAGGCAAUGCCUCCGGGCACGCUUGCCAGUGGUACUGGGUUGCUCGCCCAGUUCCUCCUCCGGGAGGUAUUCGGGGGGGGUAGGCAGAUAGAGCCCGCCGGUGACGACGGGCCUGGAUAAAUGAUAGAGGCCGCAGAGUACGCCUGGCGUAACUUUGAGGAACAGAAUCCGGCUUAUAGGCCUGUAGCAGAA